AUAAUACGUAAAUCUAUAUGUAUAGUGAUAUAUAUAUAUAUAUAUAUAAUUUAUAUACAUAUAAUUGAAAAUUUAUUAGGGAAACGAGACAAUUUAAACUUUUACAUCAAGAGUACAUUUUGUACCUACCCCACACUUUUCCUAAAUAAUUACAAUCUUCUGCCACUCACAAAAACACAGUCGUUUUAUCUAAUUACAAACCAGAAAUCUUAUCCACGACCGUGUCUUCUCCAAAUCGCAACUCCAAUAAUCCGUAAAGGCUUUCCGAGGUGGCUCAUGGUCUCGCCGUCGUCGACUCACUGUACUCUGCGGCCGUUCUCACCUAGCCACCGUGGCUCUUCCUCCACGGCCUCCAAUCUCCAUCUCUGCUGCUUGCUGCAUGACGCAUCUGAAGUCCACGACGUCUCCAUUCCGUGUCUCUUCUCUGUAGUGGGCUUCGUGUCAUGGCCGCCGGCGUCGUCACGCUCAAGAUCUGGCGAAGAGAAAAUUCGAUCCAUUCCAGUUCCUGGCUUCUCCGUAUUUGCACUUUAGGUCCCUCACAUUUCUGAUUAUUUUCAAAUCGACCAAAGGUUUUGUAUAUUGAGAAACAUCCUUCUGAAUCAACCUUGGAUCUUUCAAUUGUGUUAUCUUGACCCAUCGAAUAUUCUAGUUUUGCAACCUUGGUAUCUGAAUUUUCUAUUGUUUUCACGUUCGCCCCAAUACUUCUAAAUUCACAAGAGUAACCUCACGAUUUGCCUCAAACUUCUCAAGUAUGCACUUUAACCCUGUUAUAUGCAAUUAUGCAUGACAAUGCAAUAUAUACACCUAAU
This 809-nucleotide long non-coding RNA is filed under the name Brassica napus (rape). Its description in RNAcentral is "long non-coding RNA (BNAP_LNC019780)". The record is from RNAcentral. Lineage: Eukaryota; Viridiplantae; Streptophyta; Magnoliopsida; Brassicales; Brassicaceae.